AGUAGCUAAAAUACAUAUUGAACAUAGCAAAUCGGGUUCCCAAGAUGUACAAAGUAAAUAUUAAUCACGAAGUCAAAUAACAUAAAAAUUCAUACUAUGCGGGAUAAUAGCCAUGAUUCACAGCAGAUGAGGAUUAUUUCUUAAUAAAAAAUAUUGUGGAAUUUAACAGUAGGAACAAUUUACUGCCGUAAGAGCCCCCCGAUUAUUAGUGCAAUCGUGCAGGAUACCACUUUGAUACAAACUGAUGAUGGUGGAAAAACACCGAAACGACUUUUAAGAAAGAUGAAUAAACAGUGAUCGAAAUAAAUGAUUGAAACCCAGGAAUAUUGUUUAUAUUAUUAUAAGUGUUACAAGUUUUAAGUCGCACAAUGAGGUAAAUCAAAAACAACUUAUGAAUGCAAAUCCUAUGUAAAUUAUGGGGCAUUUUUGUCAAUAUUGCCUAUGUCGAAUGCUGCAAAACUGUCAACAGGAUUAGAUACAGUGAACAACCAGGAAAAAGGAAAUGAACUAAUCAUUUGUUAUUUAUUACAUCCUUCCUAGGAAAGCUAUUCUUACCU
Molecule: long non-coding RNA, 557 nt
Organism: Dendroctonus ponderosae (mountain pine beetle)
Lineage: Eukaryota; Metazoa; Arthropoda; Insecta; Coleoptera; Curculionidae
Exons: 3
Source: RefSeq, a predicted model, not a curated record